Molecule: long non-coding RNA, 184 nt
Organism: Mus pahari (shrew mouse)
Lineage: Eukaryota; Metazoa; Chordata; Mammalia; Rodentia; Muridae
Exons: 3
Source: RefSeq, a predicted model, not a curated record
CUGGGUUUCAAUGUCUUCCUGGGAAACACCAGUUCCAUUGGUGAAGCCUCUUGGAGUUUUUAGAUCCCCUGUGGGAAAUGAGCAAAAUAAGUCCCUGUGCUGCGGCUAAGAAGAGUGAGCCACACCAAGUUCCUGCCCUCAGGACUCACAUUCAAGGGACCUGCCCUCUUGCCGCCCACGGAUC